GGAGUUAGCCGGUGCUUCUUCUGUGAGUGAUGUCCUUCCUGCCGGCUAUUAACCCGCAGGCCUUCUUCCUCACUGAAAGUGCUUUACAACCCGAAGGCCUUCUUCACACACGCGGCAUGGCUGGAUCAGGGUUGCCCCCAUUGUCCAAUAUUCCCCACUGCUGCCUCCCGUAGGAGUCUGGGCCGUGUCUCAGUCCCAGUGUGGCUGAUCAUCCUCUCAGACCAGCUACGGAUCGUCGCCUUGGUGAGCCGUUACCUCACCAACCAGCUAAUCCGACAUAGGCUCAUCCGAUAGCGCGAGGCCCGAAGGUCCCCCGCUUUCCCCCGUAGGGCGUAUGCGGUAUUAGCCUGGGUUUCCCCAGGUUAUCCCCCACUACCGGGCAGAUUCCUAUGCAUUACUCACCCGUCCGCCGCUCGCCACCAGGGAGCAAGCUCCCCGUGCUGCCGCUCGACUUGCAUGUGUUAGGCCUGCCGCCAGCGUUCAAUCUGAGCCAGGAAUCGAAACCCUGA
RNAcentral lists this ribosomal RNA (509 nucleotides) under uncultured bacterium. Its description in RNAcentral is "partial 16S ribosomal RNA". The record is from RNAcentral.